Molecule: long non-coding RNA, 682 nt
Organism: Mauremys reevesii (Reeves's turtle)
Lineage: Eukaryota; Metazoa; Chordata; Testudines; Geoemydidae
Exons: 6
Source: RefSeq, a predicted model, not a curated record
CUGGGAUGCCCCACAGACCUGGCCCAGACCAAUCCACACGGGGUGGGUAGGGGCUUUCACCUGAGAGAACCCCCCUCCCAAUUCCCCUGGCCCCAACCCUGGUGAAGGUUGCUGGGAGGCUGGGGGGAGGAGUCGGUUCCUGGUGGGGAAGCUGCCCUUCGGGUCACAUUUCCCCCGUGGCAGGAUGAAUGGGCUGCUCUGGUCCAGGCUGGUUCCGAGCUGUUAACCCCCUUUCUCCUGCUGGGUCCGGCAUCACCAUGGCUGCCCCAUGCCUCCAAGUGCAGAUCACGUUCUGUGGCAGCUGAGGAUACAGAAGCCGGUUCCUGCAGCUGCAGGAGUUCCUAGAGAAACGCUUCCCAAAGCAGUUGGAGAUUACAGGGGAAAUGGCCCCCGGCUCUGGGGCCUUUGAGAUUCUUCUCCCUGACAGUGGCCAGGUCCUGCACUCCAAGCUCAACGGUGAUGGCUAUGUGGACAGUAACGCCAAGGUGCAGCGCAUCUGUGAAGGCAUCAGCAAGGUCCUGAAACAGUAGCGAGCAGGGAUUGGGGUGCUGUGCUUUCCAGGGCACCACAUGACGGGAUCAGCCGAAAGGGAGUCUCAGCCCAGGCCAGUCCCCGACCUCCCCCCGAUGCUCCAACCCCUGUGGCUGUCGCCAAGCAAUAAAGAGCAACAUCCUGGCAGGCA